Molecule: ribosomal RNA, 421 nt
Filed under: uncultured bacterium
Lineage: Bacteria
Description: partial 16S ribosomal RNA
Rfam family: Bacterial small subunit ribosomal RNA
Source: RNAcentral
AAUAUUGGACAAUGGGUGCAACCCUGAUCCAGCCAGGCCGCGCGUGUGAAUAAGGACUUCGGAUUGUAAAGCACUUUAAGUUGGGAGGAAGGUCUUUAGGCUAAUACGCUGCAAUUUUGACUUUACCAACAGAAUAAGCACCUGCUAACUUCGUGCCAUCAGACGCGGUAAUACGAAGGGUGCAAGCGUUACUCGGAAUUACUGGGCGUAAAGCGCGCGUAGGUGGUUUGUCAAGUUGGAAGUGAAAGCCCCGGGCUCAACCUGGGAACUGCUUUCAAAACUGGCAAGCUAGAGUAUGGCAGAAGGUGGUGGAAUUUCCUGUGGAGCGGUGAAAUGCGUAGAUAUAGGAAGGAACACCAGUGGCGAAGGCGACUACCUGGACUGAUACUGACACUGAGGUGCGAAAGCGUGGGGAGCAAAC